RNAcentral lists this small nucleolar RNA (48 nucleotides) under Labrus bergylta (ballan wrasse). Lineage: Eukaryota; Metazoa; Chordata; Actinopteri; Labriformes; Labridae. The record is from RNAcentral.
AUUGGCUGACUCUUUAUGAUGAUUAACCAAUCACCAUCUUUCGUCUGA